CGGGUGAGUAACGCGUGGGUAACCUGCCUUGUACUGGGGGACAACAGUUGGAAACGACUGCUAAUACCGCAUAAGCGCACAGCUUCGCAUGAAGCAGUGUGAAAAACUCCGGUGGUACAAGAUGGACCCGCGUCUGAUUAGCUGGUUGGUGAGGUAACGGCCCACCAAGGCAACGAUCAGUAGCCGGUCUGAGAGGGUGAACGGCCACAUUGGGACUGAGACACGGCCCAA
This 231-nucleotide ribosomal RNA is filed under the name uncultured bacterium. RNAcentral's name for it is "partial 16S ribosomal RNA". It matches the Rfam family "Bacterial small subunit ribosomal RNA", at positions 103 to 334 of the family's 1533-position model. The record is from RNAcentral.